This 540-nucleotide unclassified non-coding RNA is filed under the name Hevea brasiliensis (rubber tree). The record is from RNAcentral. Lineage: Eukaryota; Viridiplantae; Streptophyta; Magnoliopsida; Malpighiales; Euphorbiaceae.
UUGAAGACUAGCUCAAAGACCAUUAGCAAGCUGGCGCAUCCAAAUGCGCCCCUUGGAUACGGCCUUUGCUUUUUGAACCUUGCAUUUGAUGGAUUUACAAAUGCAACUCAGGAUUCACUGACUGCAAGGUAUCCGAAGACAACUGCCUGGGACAUAAUGCUGGGAAUGAAUUUAUGGGGUACUAUAUAUAAUAUGCUCUACAUGUUUGGGUGGCCACAGGGCAUUGGAUUUGAGGCAGUUCGAUUCUGUAAGCAGCACCCUGAGGCAGCUUGGGACAUUUUUCUCUAUUGCCUCUGUGGUGCAGUGGGGCAGAAUUUCAUAUUUUUAACUAUAAGCCGAUUUGGCUCUCUCGCUAACACGACCAUCACUACGACCCGCAAAUUUGUAAGCAUCGUGGUGUCUUCACUGUUGAGCGGCAAUCCUUUGUCAACUAAACAAUGGGGCUGUGUAGUCAUGGUCUUUUCAGGGUUGUCAUACCAAAUCUAUCUCAAGUGGAAGAAGUUGCAGAAACUGCAAAAGAAGAGAAAGGCUGCAUGAAGA